GGAGAAUUCUAGGACACCUGGGAAUUACCCUGCGGUUCGCGUCUGCAAAGCUACACAGCGUUUCUCCAAAAUAUUAUUUUAACCUGUAGUGUCCUCGAGAGCAGACGGAUUCAAAAUAAGAAAUAAAAUUCCAGUGUCCUGGGCUCUGGCUUCUCUGCGGAUUCCUUCUGUCUGAAUGGCUGUUCUUAUUUUGUAGGACUGUGAUCUGAUGGAUUCUGAUACAGGCCCAGGUGCUUUGGAAAAGCUGACUCGCAAGCACAAGGCCAGCAUCUCUCCCGUCCGCUGCCCUCUUGGAAGCUGGCUUUCUGGACUUCCCCUCCACUUUCCAUUUGUGGCCCCGGCUCCUGGGUGCUCCCAGACUCCAGGUAGGAAGCUUCAGAUGCAGCUCCUUUCAGCUGGGGAGCUGCUUGUCUCCCCUGCAGGGUCACUCUUCCUGGGCAGGGCUCCAGCGCUGGACUGACGAGGGGCUGGGGCAGGUCCCAGGGAGCUGGAAACGAAAC
Molecule: long non-coding RNA, 500 nt
Filed under: Canis lupus familiaris (dog)
Lineage: Eukaryota; Metazoa; Chordata; Mammalia; Carnivora; Canidae
Description: lncRNA (ENSCAFG00845005483.1)
Source: RNAcentral